GGGGACGAAUGGAUUCCGGUGGAUUCUGCGGACUUCAAAUCCGUUAUCGGGCGGAUGAUCCGGCCGAGGUAGGUUCGACUCCUACACGUUCCC
This 93-nucleotide transfer RNA is filed under the name Desulfitobacterium dehalogenans ATCC 51507. Its description in RNAcentral is "tRNA-Sec". It matches the Rfam family "Selenocysteine transfer RNA". Lineage: Bacteria; Bacillati; Bacillota; Clostridia; Eubacteriales; Desulfitobacteriaceae. The record is from RNAcentral.